This 243-nucleotide unclassified non-coding RNA is filed under the name Glomus sp. RNAcentral's name for it is "partial internal transcribed spacer 2". The stretch from base 1 to 71 matches the Rfam family "5.8S ribosomal RNA", at positions 84 to 154 of the family's 154-position model. Lineage: Eukaryota; Fungi; Glomeromycota; Glomeromycetes; Glomerales; Glomeraceae. The record is from RNAcentral.
GUGAAUCAUCGAAUUUUUGAACGCAAAUUGCACUCUCUGGUAUUACUGAGAGUAUGCCUGGUUCAGGGUCUGUGUAAAUAAAAAUCGGUGUGGUUGCUGCCUUUCUUGGUGACGCACCGGGUUAGUGUCGGUUUUCCUUCUUUUAAGUGACCUAAAAUUUUGUUUUAUUUUUUUCGAACGUAUUUAAAUGACUUUACGUACGUUUUCUAUAUCUAGUACUAUGUGUUGUCAUCCACAUUCUUC